UGUAAGCCGAUGAAGGUGUGUUGAGAAGCAUGCUGGAGGUAUCAGAAGUGCGAAUGCUGACGUGAGUAACGACAAAACGGGUGAAAAACCCGUUCGCCGAAAGACCAAGGGUUCCAGUCCAACGUUAAUCGGGGCUGGGUGAGUCGACCCCUAAGGCGAGGCCGAAAGGCGUAGUCGAUGGGAAAAUGGUUAAUAUUCCAUUACUUCUGUGUAAUGCGAUGAGAGGACGGAGAAGGCUAAAUCAGCCUGGCGUUGGUUGUCCAGGUGAAAGGAUGUAGGCAUGUAUCUUAGGCAAAUCCGGGGUACUCUAUGCUGAGAUCUGAUAGCAAGCUGUACUUGUACAGCGAAGUGGUUGAUGCCAUGCUUCCAGGAAAAGUCUCUAAGCUUCAGUUACACAGGAAUCGUACCCGAAACCGACACAGGUGGUCAGGUCGAGUAGACCAAGGCGCUUGAGAGAACUCUGCUGAAGGAACUAGGCAAAAUGGUACCGUAACUUCGGGAGAAGGUACGCUGUUGUUGGUGAUGGAACUCGCUUCCUGAGCUGACGACAGCCGCAGAAACCAGGCCGCUGCAACUGUUUAUUAAAAACAUAGCACUCUGCAAACACGAAAGUGGACGUAUAGGGUGUGAUGCCUGCCCGGUGCUGGAAGGUUAAUUGAUGGGGUUAGCGUAAGCGAAGCUCUUGAUCGAAGCCCCAGUAAACGGCGGCCGUAACUAUAACGGUCCUAAGGUAGCGAAAUUCCUUGUCGGGUAAGUUCCGACCUGCACGAAUGGCAUAAUGAUGGCGGCGCUGUCUCCAGCAGAGGCUCAGUGAAAUCGAAAUCGCUGUGAAGAUGCAGUGUACCCGCGGCUAGACGGAAAGACCCCGUGAACCUUUACUGCAGCUUGACACUGAACUUUGACCUUACUUGUGUAGGAUAGGUGGGAGGCUUUGAAGCUGGAACGCUAGUUCCAGUGGAGCCGUCCUUGAAAUACCACCCUGGUAAUGUUGAGGUUCUAACUCUGUCCCGUGAUCCGGGACGAGGACCGUGUCUGGUGGGUAGUUUGACUGGGGCGGUCUCCUCCUAAAGAGUAACGGAGGAGUACGAAGGUGCGCUCAGCGUGGUCGGAAAUCACGCGUAGAGUAUAAAGGCAAAAGCGCGCUUAACUGCGAGACCCACAAGUCGAGCAGGUACGAAAGUAGGUCUUAGUGAUCCGGUGGUUCUGUAUGGAAGGGCCAUCGCUCAACGGAUAAAAGGUACUCUGGGGAUAACAGGCUGAUACCGCCCAAGAGUUCAUAUCGACGGCGGUGUUUGGCACCUCGAUGUCGGCUCAUCUCAUCCUGGGGCUGAAGCAGGUCCCAAGGGUAUGGCUGUUCGCCAUUUAAAGAGGUACGCGAGCUGGGUUUAGAACGUCGUGAGACAGUUCGGUCCCUAUCUACCGUGGGCGCUGGAAAUUUGAGAGGAUCUGCUCCUAGUACGAGAGGACCAGAGUGGACGAACCUCUGGUGUACCGGUUGUGACGCCAGUCGCAUCGCCGGGUAGCUAUGUUCGGAAGGGAUAACCGCUGAAAGCAUCUAAGCGGGAAGCCUACCUCAAGAUAAGAUUUCCCUAGGACUUUAUGUCCUCUAAAGAGCCGUUCGAGACUAGGACGUUGAUAGGUUGGAUGUGGAAGCAUAGUGAUAUGUGAAGCUGACCAAUACUAAUUGCUCGUGAGGCUUGACUA
Molecule: ribosomal RNA, 1704 nt
Filed under: Acinetobacter baumannii 6935
Lineage: Bacteria; Pseudomonadati; Pseudomonadota; Gammaproteobacteria; Moraxellales; Moraxellaceae
Description: bacterial LSU rRNA
Rfam family: Bacterial large subunit ribosomal RNA
Source: RNAcentral